AACGGCAAAAAUGUGGUCACAACAGCGUCUAUAACGUGUUUGAUGAAAUGCCUAGGAGAAGAAGGUUUUGUGAAAGAGGCAUUAGCUACUUUUUAUCGGAUGAAGGAAUAUCACUGCAAACCUGAUGUUUAUGCUUACAAUACAAUUAUCAAUGCUCUCUGCCGAGUGGGGAAUUUCAAAAAAGCGAGAUUUCUGUUGGAUCAGAUGCAAUUGCCCGGUUUUCGAUACCCACCGGAUACCUAUACUUACACCAUUUUAAUUAGCUCGUAUUGUAGAUAUGGGAUGCAAACCGGAUGCAGAAAGGCCAUAAGGAGGAGAAUGUGGGAGGCUAAUCGAAUGUUUAGGGAAAUGCUGUUCAGAGGGUUUGUACCCGAUGUGGUAACUUAUAAUUGCUUGAUCGAUGGAUGUUGCAAAACAAAUCGGAUUGGUCGGGCUCUCGAGCUGUUUGAAGAUAUGAAGACAAAAGGGUGUGUACCGAACCAGGUGACUUAUAAUUCUUUCAUAAGGUAUUACAGUGUUACCAAUGAGAUAGAAGGUGCAAUCGAGAUGAUGAGGACAAUGAAGAAGAUGGGUCAUGGUGUACCUGGUUCAAGCACGUACACACCGCUAAUACACGCUCUUGUUGAGACCAGGAGAGCGGCU
RNAcentral lists this long non-coding RNA (642 nucleotides) under Arabidopsis lyrata. RNAcentral describes it as "long non-coding RNA (ALYR_LNC002897)". The record is from RNAcentral. Lineage: Eukaryota; Viridiplantae; Streptophyta; Magnoliopsida; Brassicales; Brassicaceae.